CACGCUGAAGCUGAUUAUAGCAUUUAACUGUUAAUUAAAAGGUGGCCUUACUAGGUCAGUGUGA
This 64-nucleotide transfer RNA is filed under the name Elysia timida. RNAcentral describes it as "tRNA-Asn". The record is from RNAcentral. Lineage: Eukaryota; Metazoa; Mollusca; Gastropoda; Plakobranchidae.